UUUUCUAAUCCAUCACAGACGUUGCCACUCUCUCUCACCCCUUUCCUCUUCUAUGUCAACUUUCAAAUUCCUUUCAGCCAUGACCAGGCUAUGCCCACUCCAUUUGAGGCAAAGAUCGUCCUUCUCUAUCUUUUCUUUGGCGCAUUCGCUGAGAAAAAGGCAUCUCUUUUCAGAACUUGACCAAUUCUCAUCUCAACGUUCGGAUUCAAACGGACUCUGACUCGAUUUUGAAUCCUUAAUCAAGAAAUCCCGCUUAAAAUCACCUACCCUAACCUUCCUCUAUAAAUAUUUAUCUUUUACUCUCAGCCGAGAGAGAGGUGACAGAGCACGAAAAAGACCACAAAAACUCUAAAUUUCUAAGGUGGAACACCCUCAGACACAGCCGCCUACACACACAUGAACCAGCAAAACACUACUACUCUGUCAUUCUCACUACUGUUAUAGUCUCUCAAACUUGCAAGAGUCUCUUAGAAAUAAAACCUUUUCUUUUCUGUCUCGGUGAACUUUGGCCAUGACAGAGGUAUUCGAACUUGUUCGGCUCGAGGUUCGGAUCUAUUCGUAACGAGAGAGUAGAUUCGAGAUCGAUGCCCUGAGUUCACUGCCCCACAACAGGUAAAAUCCGACCAUGUUUUGAUUUUUCUCAUUCAUUUAAAAACAGUGUGUUUGCCUAGAAAAUCAUGUCUUAGCUUUUCUCUGUUUUAGUCAUAUUGAAGUGUGCUAGCAAAAUAGUAAUAAUGAUGAAAUCAUGUAUUAAGACCUUUUAUGUUCAGAUCUGUCUCUUCAAAAUUUCAUGAUUGAAUCGUGACACUAGUUGUUAUCUUGUACUUUCAAAGCCUCUACUGAUAAUACUUGAAUAGAAGCCAUGCCUUAAGGAUUAAAAUUUAGUUGUUGUUCAGGUAGUAAAAAUCAUGACAUUAGGACCUAUAUGGACUUUACAUGAAAGGACUCUUGUUUAGUGUGCAAUACUUUCAUCAGCAUAUAUACAUACACACAUGGCUAUUUGAAUGGGUAAGAAUCAUAAUAUUAGAGCUAAUUAAUAUGUCCAGAAAUCAUGUUGUAUGAUUACUAAUUAGCGAAAUCAUGCUUUAGGAGAAUAUGUAUCCUCUUAUUGUAUUCUUUUGCUCUACUUUCUGCUUAAGUGAUAAAAGUACGACUUUUAUGCUUAUUCCAAAGUUUAGAUGUCAUGCCCAUAGGGUUUUUAAAAUGUUUAUUUCAAAUAGACUCUAGCUAUAUGAGAUUACAUGUUAUCUUGUGAACAUCAUGCCUUCGUGUUUCUAUUUAAGAUUGGCAACUAAAUGCUAGCAUCUCUGUUAAUUUAAUGGUAACCUUUUAAAAAGGUGUAAAAUAUGCUUGUCUGUUCAUGUAUGUUUGGUUCAACGAUAUAGAAUUAUUUCAGGCCUUACUUAAAACAAGGGAUCUAAUCAUUUAUUUCUAACUUGGAACAUUACUUGAGAAUAUGUUUAUGUUAAUAUGAGUUGGUCAUGUCUAAAUGCAAGAAAGCUACUCAAUUUCAAGUCUAUAAAUUUUGCUCUUUUCCUACUUCGUUUAUUUUACUUUUUUAGCUUGUUAGAACAGUAGAUGCUCUCUAAUUCAUUUACUUUCUUUGACUUGCAUGAACACCGGAGCCGAAGAGUUUCACGAUGAAACUCAACGAUGCUCUUGAAACUUCCUUUCUGUUUCAUCUAUUUACUCAUUCAUUGUGCGAUUAACUAAUUUUAUCCUUUAGUUGUGUUAUUAACUAGUUUUAUCCUUUAGCUGUGUGAUUGGUCGUUAAGAUCUAAAUUUACUAUAUAGUCAUAGUCAAGUCUUUUAAUGGUGAAGAUUUUAUUUUAUUUUGUAAUGAAAGUAUUCAUUUAUCACAUAAUACUUACGCCUAAUUGAAACUCUUCUGGAAUCACGACAUGCGUCAAAUACUAAGUGUUAAGUCUGCUAAGUUAUUAUAAAAUCAACUAUGGCUUUAAAACUUUUUCUUUCCGCUCUACCAACUUUGUGAAAUUGACAACUCUGCUUUAUAUGAUUUUUUUAGGAACUGAAACUAGUGGUAUUUCUAGCACAUAGAAGCUGUCAUCUUUGUUUUCUUUCCCUGUUUCAAAUAUUCAAGAUGGCAUUGUUUUCUUUACUUUCUUUAAAGACAUCUUGAACUCAUAGUUACUUGUUUGAUGUUUCAAGUUUGGAGUUAACAGGUUAAGAAAGAUCGGCUUUGGGACACUAUCGGAACGAGAGCUCAUUGCUAGUUUAGGAAAUCAUUUUCUCAAAUCUUAAUUAAGAAUUUAAGUGCAUUGCUGAUCGAGUGCAAACUUAACAUUGCAAUACAUAGGAAUUGACUUAUUUUACAAACAUCUAGUCAAUUCUUUAACCCUUUUAGGAAUUAAUAUAUUCUUUUUAUUUUACAUUACAAUACAUAGCCUUAAUUAAAUUUUAGUCCGGAGGGUCAACCAUUUAAUAUGGAUCUUAAAGGGUGCCUUAAGAACCUUCCCUUUAGAUUAAUUGAACCCUUACCUAGAGCCUUUAGGUUAAGUAGACCAUUAACAGAGUUAAUACUUUAUUAAAUUACUUUAAUCACUUUAGUUGUCCUAAUUCACCUUAGAAAUAAUUAGGUGGCGACUCUCUUAAUUAAUUAACCUCGGAAUUACCAAUAUGUUAUACACUAAUUUGACUCGUGUUAAAAUGGGGGAUAACAAUAAUCCCUCAGGCUUCUUUGUGAUGAAAGGGAAGACGAGUUGGCACACUUGCGGCAUGAGGCUAGUCGCAGUCUGAACUACGAAAGCUACCUCGAGGAGCAGGUAACUUCUAUUCGAAGGGUUUGCGUGUUUCUUUUUCUAUCUUCUAAGGCUAAUGUUUCGUUUACUUCAGCUGCAGAAAAAAACAGAAGACCUGGCAUGCCUUAGGAACAAAGUUGGUUAAGCCAAGCGUGAGUGCGAUGAGCUAAGGGCUCGGGUGGAUACCCAAAUAUCGGCUAAGAAAGAUUCUUUGGCCAAGGCUUCCGCCUUCGAAGUGCAACUUCAUAACGCUAAUGAGAACAGCUUGGUCCGAACGGACAUGAUUCCAAGACUUGAGUCUGAGCUCCUGAAGAUGAAGGCCGAAGUUGUGGAUGCUCGGUCUGAAGCCGAAAUAAUUCGAGCUAAGGCUGAUAAGAAGGUGGCUGCCUAUCUGAAGGAGGCUGCCGAUGCUCGUGCUGAGCUAAGAGGGUCUCUCGACCAGGGGAGUAGGAAUAGUAUACGAGGUGCAAAUUUCGUAGGGAAACCCUCGAGGCAAUUCAUGUCAGGGGCUUCGAUCUCUCGGAAGAGAUAAAGCAGGCGAAGGCAGAAGAAUAUGAUGCUAAGUUUCAUCUGUCUGAUGCCGAAGAUGGUGAGGAAGAAGUUGAUGGACUAUAGUCCCCGAGGGGGACGUAGAUUAGCUUAGGCCUUUCCUUUCUUGUUUUGCGUAGAGUGCUUUCAAAGAACUGUAAAUAAAGCUUGUAUUUUUUCGCAUAUAUGUAUAAAAAGGAAACCUCGUGGCUUUAUUUUACAUACAUUCCCCUUUGCCUUGAUUUUAGCUAGAUGGACUGGUCUUGGAGUUAAAAGGAAUCCAUAGAUCCAUAAAUAUGCACUUGGUUGGCAUGACCUUUUAGUGUAAGCCGGCGUUUGAGCUCUUAUGCUUUUGCUCUUAGGCAUAUUUAGUUAACUAUUUUGGGUUUAGUCUCUGAGUCGGGUAUCGACUCGAGCUCAUUCGACCCUCAAGUUUUUGAAUUUAAGGUUGGCUCUUACGCGUUGGGUCGGUACGACCUCUUAUAUGGGCUAGCGAUAGUCUCUUACGUACUGACCUCUUAUAUAGGUUUUAUUUUUUACUCGUUAAGGACUUUUUGAAAUUUUGUUUGCCCGACUCUUCGACAGUUUGAUAAAAACCUCGAUUGUGAGUUGUUAUAUGGAGAUGAUCGAGCACCCCGGGAGGUUUGGCUCAGCGGCUAAGUAUCUUGAAGCCUUAUACUUUGGAGCUUACAUGGUCGAAGCUCUUUUGCCUAUGUCGAGGUUAGCCUGUUUAACAGGUUCUUUUCGAAGUAAUUGAAGGCUUAUGUUUUUAUAGCGAUAGUCGGGCGUCCUCGAGUCGUGUUAGUUUGGAUGGUACAACUUUGUGAUUGUAGUCAUUUGUGUUUGGCCGGAGCCUUUCAGUCCCCGAGUGAAAUAGUUUCGGCGUCUUACAAGUUUUUCAUGCAUUUGAGGUCUUACAGUUUUUGGCUACUUGGUACAAGUGUGGUUCAUGCCUUGCUUGAGGUCUUACUGAUAUUGUCAUUGCCUUAUGUAGGUCUUACGAGACCGAGGCUACCCGCAUGUGGUCUUGUGGCUUCAGCUUUUGAUAAGUCGAUGGGGGUGGCGAUUGGCUGCAGUCCCCAAGACAUCGAGGGUUUCUCGUCUCGGGAGCCAUUACUUGUAAACUUGGUAUUGCCUCAUUGAGGGCUUACGAUUUUAAGAUUUCUAACCUGGAGGUCAUGUGGCCUUGAGUUUUCGAUGCCAGUCCCCGAGUGUUCGGGACGUUUUCGGCUCUGGAGCCAUUUUGUGAUCUUGAUGUUGCCUCAUUGAUGGUUUAUGAGUUUGAAGCUCCAACCCGGGGGUCAAGCGGCUUUGAGUUAUUGACGCCAGUCCCCAAGUAUUCAGGACGUUUUCGGCUCUAGAGCCAUUUUUUGCAAAAGACACCGAGCUUCUUUGAAACACUAAAUGCUUUGAUGAAGGGGAAAAUGUUCUUUGAUUACUUGGUACAAGUAUACACAUUUUUGCUGUUACAGCUUGGUUGUUCUACAUGGUUCAUUCGACCGUUUGGCCCGGUACAUUAUUUUCCUAUCCUCAUUUAAUGCAUCUUGGCUUCUUCGAGUAGGUGACCUUCCGGGGGGAUGCCCCCCCGUAUUCGAGUGCAACACAUGCUUUUGAAACCUAAGGCCUUCGAGCUGGGAAACGCUUCGGCCGUUUCAAUCGGAUACUUGCAUUCAGGUUAGUAUAAAAUGUAACUGAAAAAGGGAGAUAGCCAUACCUUAGUGUUGACGAUGCUUCGGAUCUCGAUGUGAUUCAAUCGCUUGUUUUGAGGACUCGGUAUGUAUAGUCCUUUAUUUUGUUUAGUCGGGGGUAGCUGAGAGUGUAGCUUGUUAUUGCUAUUUUACUGUUUGCUUAUCCUUUAGCUCCUUCGAAGGUUGAGGUACUGGUGUCGUUGCCACGUCGUGUAGUGCGAACAUCUCCCUUGCUACAUGUUGCUCCCCGUACACGGUUUUUAUUCCAUCCUUUGUUGAAAACUUCAUCAUUUGAUCAAGGGUUGAUGAUACUGCUCUCAUGCAGUGUAUCCAUGGCCUUCCAAGCAAGACAUUAUAUCUUAUGUCUCCUUCGAUGAUAUGGAAUUUGGCAUUUUGGAUUGUGCCAACCACGUUGACUGGGAGGGUGAUUUCCCUUUUCGUUGUUUUGCUUGCCAUGUUGAAUCCCUUGAGGCGGGCACGAUUUGGUCAAGCAGUCCGAGCUGCUCUACCACCCUCGACCUGAUAAUAUUGGCCGAGCUACCUGGAUCCACAAGUACACGUUUAAUUUGAAAUGUAUUUAUAAGGAAAGAGAUUACCAGUGCGUCGUUGUGAGGCUGAGACAAGGUCUCGAUGUCCUCGUCGCUGAAUGUGAGAGCAUCCUCGGUUAUGUAACUCCGAGUUCGCUUUUCUCUGGUGAUGAAUAUUUUUGUUCUUCUGAUCAUGGGUCCUUGUGGGGCAUCGAUGCCUCCUAAGAUCAUGUGGAUGACAUGUUGUUGCUCAUUUGUUUUGUUUUUCUUGGUCGCCUCUCUUUCCCGGAACUGAUUUUUGGCCCGGUCAUUGAGGAAUUCUCGGAGAUGACCUUUGCUGAGUAGUCGGGCUACUUCUUCUCGGAGUUGGUGGGAAUCCUCGGUCUUGUGACCGUGCAUGUUGUGAAAUUCACACACUAAGUUAUGGUUCCUUUACGAAGGAUCUGAUUGUACAGGUCUCGGCCACCUGGCGUCUCUAAUCUUACUGAUGGCAAACACGAUAUCUGAAAUAUCGAUGUUGAAGUUGUAUUCCGAUAAGCGGGGUGCUUCUGCUGGCCCUGCAUGCCUAUUGAACUUGGCUCUGUUGACGAGUCCCCGAGGGUUCUGCCCUCGAUUCGUUCUUCGAUCAUUAUGGGAUAUGUUACGCCUCGGGGCGUUUCUCCUAUCUUCGAUGUAUGGCUGGUACCUUUCUUUGUUUGGCUUUGGCUCCUUCGCCAAAAGCCUGCUUGGGUAUACCGAGCCCGAUGGGGCUCCUAAUUGGUUGUCUUCGACCCUAAUCUUUGAUUGGUAUCGGUUGUGAACGUCCAACCAAGUCACGGCGGGGUAUUCAACCAAAUUUUGUAUUAGAUGUUUCGAAGCCAUCAAACUUCAUUCAUUCAGACCUUGAGUGAAGGCCUGCACUUCCCAGUCGUUGGAGACUGGUGGUAGUUCCAUUUGAAAGCGAGAUACGAACUCUCGUCACAUCUCAUUCUCCCUUUGCAUGAUCUUGAAGACGUCAGAUUUCCUUGUUGCUAAUUUGAUGGCAUCGACAUGUGCCUUUAUGAAAGAAUCUGCCAGCAUGACAAAUGAGUCUUUAGAGUUAGGAGCUAGGUUGUGAUACCACAUCAUGACCCCUUUCGAGAAUGUUUCCCCGAACUUCUUUAGCAGGACGGACUCGAUCUCGUCGUCCCUUAGGUCGUUGCCCUACACUGCACAAGUGUAGGCAGUGACGUGCUCGUUGGGGUCCGGGGUUCCGUUGUACUUCGGAAGUUCGAUCAUUUUGAACUUCUUUGGGGGCCGCUUCCUGUGGGAACGACUUUUGCACAAAUUUCUUCGAAUCUACACCUUUCAGAAUCGGGGGUGCGCCUGGAAUUUGAUCGACCCUGAAAUUGUAGGUCUCUAACUUCUUGUCGUUGGCAUCUAUCUUCUUCUUGCCCGACUCGAUCCUCUUUGUGAGAUCCUCGAGCAUCUUUACAAUGGCGGGUCAGUUGCCGACUAGUUGUUGCUUGAUCUUUCUAGUACCUGUUGGGUCCGAGGGGCUGUUCCCGAGGCCGCUGUACUUGGGGUUUUUUGGUGGCUCUGCAGCUGAGCAAUAGCCAGCUAUUGUGCCUGUAACAUUUCAAAAAUAACGUGAAGUCUAACCUCCCGUUCUUCCCUAGUUGGGGUUUUCUGAGCUUCUUGUUGGUCUCCUUGGUGCACGCUCAUGUUAGUGUGGGAGCUUAUAUCGACGUGUUGGGCGUCGCAUGAGACCGCGUCCACGAGAAUUGGUUCUGGUGCAUUCUCGGGUUUCGUAGUGGUACACUAACACCUGGAACAUCCACACCAUUCUCUCCAUGGUCCUCAAGAUUGUUGUUUACUGAGUUAGACAUUUGGACCUGAAAUCAAAGAUCUUUGAUAAGAAAAAGUGUGAAAGGUAACUUGCGUUAUGUAGUAAACCAGCAAGAAAACAAUUACUAUUAUUUUUAGCCCCACGGUGGGCGCCAAACUUUUACCGUGAAAAUGGUAAUAACAAUUAAAUUUGAUUUUGUGGUUAUAAAAAUACGUGAUCUAUUUUUAUGCUAGUUGUUUAGGCAAUGGAUGCUAAGUAAAAGAUUAUAAAGCAAGAUUAUAACUCAAAAAACGAUAUGAUAGUCAAACCAAACAGCUGGAGAUCUGGGCCUCGAGCUAGCAUAUAUGGGCCCUCGAGGUUGAAUCGAAUGGCCGACUUAGAGAGAUCGAGGGAGGAAUAACGGUGAUGAGAGCUACGAUGAUGGCUCUUCAAUGAUAAGCAAUAAAUGGUGAACAAUAAAUAUAACACAAUGAAUAUAAGAAAUAAAUGGAAGUAAUGAGAUCAAGAAAAUAUGUUAGAGAGGAGAGAGAAUGUUCUUGUGUAUUCAAUAUUGAGCAUCAGAUGGUUACAAAAUGACAAGGAUCCUCUUUAUAUAUAAGGGGGAAUCCCAAUAUAGUUCAAAUACAUUUAUUACAAAGAUAUGGAGCUGGUACUGCCAGUCAAUGCCAUGAUGCAGGCUUAGGCUAGACUGACAGACUUUGUCGGCUCUAACUACGCGCCUUGGGAACUUCCCACUUCUUCAUCACAACCGCUGAUCUAUACUGCCCCGAAGUCGGGCGUUGAUAGCCCUCGGGGGUGACUCUCAACCAUAGCCUCGAGCCUUUGAAAACAUGCCGACGAGGCAUCGCAAUGACGGAAAAUUGGAUCCUCUGAUUUUACCGCAUACACAAUGAACACUUACCAAGGGCAGAUCUAUCUUAUAGGAUCGGGGUGGUACGCCACCUACACGCUGCGGCAAAAAUUCUAAAUAAAUCUGUUGAUUUCUAUGAAAAAUGAGUGUUAUAUACAAAGGGGACCCGGAUUACAGAAACUCUAUGUGGGUGCCAUGUUUUGUUGGUUUUGAAGCCUCUCGUUAACCGUACGUGUCUGGGUUCAAUUCCCUGUGGCAGCACUUCUCCGUUUCUUUUGUUUUAAAAUCUUUUUCCUACUUAUUAACCCUAAAUUUCGUUUAUUCACUACUAGGCCUUGGGUCCUCAUCUCUUCUUCCUUUUCUUUUCCUCCUCUUUCUUUUUAUAGUUUUUUCUUCCUUUUUUUUGCUACUAAAUCCUCCAUUUUUUUUAAUUUCUUUACAUUAGCCUUUAUUUUGUUUCCUACUAUUAUAUUAUUUUAUAAGCAAUUUCUUUCGAUGCAUAAUUUUGAAAUUCUAAGUAAUAUAUAGUUUCUCUUUUUAGUAAUACAAUAUUAGUAAUUUACAUAUUGGAGUAUAAUUUGAACAAUAUCAUUUUGUUGGUUUUUGAAAUAAAUUCUUGACUUAAAUUAAUCCGAAAAUGUGAAUGUAUUUUUUUAGAUUUCUUCCUUCAAUGGUUUUUGGUUGUCUUGUCUAAUCUCUUUAUUUCUUUUUCGUCGAUAUUUUCUUCGAGUUUGCUAACUCAAUGGUAGAGUACUCGACUUUUAAGUGCGGCUAGUCUCUUUUACACAUAAGGAUGAAGUGAGGGAUUCGUUCAUACUUUCGGUAAAAUCUGGAAGACCAGACUGGUUCUGAAAGGGAAUGAAUGGUAAAAAUAGCAUGUCAAAUCAACGGAAAGCGUUUUUAUUUUAUGUUAUACCACCUUGUUGGACUAAAAAAAAAGAAGCUUUCGAGUAUUUUACAAUGCAUUUUUAUGUUAUAAUUUUAGUGGUUUUGACGAACCGUAUCUCUAUCAAAACUCCUCCAGCAAAAGAAAAGAUAGAACUUAAUUCUGUAAUUUAGUUAUUUAAAUGAACCCUCGUUUCUGAAUCUCAUAAAAUUGGAAUCCCCCAGGAAAAAAGAUCAACACUCUAAUUUGUUCUUACUUCCCAAAUAGAUCUUCCUACAUCUAUAUAUAAAUACUGGUUUAUCAAGAAUACGCAAGAAAAUCAAUUCGAAUUGUUGAUUAAUCGUCAGAGAUGACUUAGAACCAACAGUUCAUUAUCUAAUAUACUACUAGAAAUUCGGUAAUUAGCGACCACAAAAAUCGACCAAUGUUGGUCUGUUUUGGCAAAUUACCGACUAAAAUGUGUCCAAACACGCUUGGUCGCUAUUUUGGUGGUCGUUUUAGUAUACCAACAAAGGUUGGUCGCUAAUUACCGACCAAUGUUGGUCACAAAGGUAAAAGGACCAAGGUUGGUCGAAAAAAAAAACCAAAGUUGGUCGGUAUUUUAGUUAUGUAAUUAAAUGAUUCACCAUCUAGGAAUCGAACCGUGGUGUGUACUAUGACAUGUUAUUAUUCUACCACUAAACCAUUGGUGCAUUUUGUCUUAAGAUUGUCUUAUUUUUUAUUUAUACUCUUUAAUUGUAUUUUCACACGAAAAUAACCGACCAAAGUUGGUCGGUUUUAUUAAAAAUAAAAUUACCGACCAAAGUUGGUCGGUUUUUUAAAAUGACCGGCCGAAUUUACUGACCAAAGUUGGUCAGUUUUUUAAUAUUAAUUUUUAUUUAUUUUAAUUGCAAAAACCGACCAAAGUUGGUCGGUUUCUUGAAAAAUAAAUUUCGCGGGACUCAAAAAUAGUUUCUCGCAUUUUGCGCCAAAUUUGUAAAAAAAAAUUAAAAAUUAAAAUAUUUUGAAAAAUCGACCAACUUUGAUCGAUUUUUGGCCGAUUUUUUGACCGAUCAAAGUUGGUCGGUUUUUACUGAAUUUCUAGUAGUGAAUGGAUCUUUUCGUUCUAAUACUCUAUCCGUGAGUUAUCGGUAUUUAUCAAAUAUGUUCCUAUCUAACAGAGCGUUAUUGGAUCAAUUGACAAAGAUAUUGUUGAGAAAAAGAUGGGUUUUCCCUGGUAAAAUUAAAAUUGGAUUCAUGUAACAGGAGAAAGAUUUUUCAUUCCUUAACUGAAAAGAUAUGUGGUCAUGAAAGAGGGAUUAAGUGGAACAGAAUUGACUGGGUGGUAGAGUCGUGGAAACACUUGUUUCUUCCAUAUUUUGGACCUUAGCUACAUGGAAGAAUAUGUUACUGCUGAAAUAUGGAAGCUCCUUAAAAGUUUAACUAUAUUCAUCAUUAAAAGUUAUUUACACAAAAUGUAGAAUUUAAUUUAAUAUACAAAGUUUACUAACCAUCAACAGAUCUCACAUCCUAUAUGUGUUAACCUAUUUGACUGUCUAAGGUGCAUAUUAUUACGACCACCCACAGUAUUAGAGUCAUCUCCAUACCGCUUCCUCUUAAUAAGACGUGUUUCUCUUUUAUUUGCAUUGAUUUGAGUGGAGUUCUUCCUGACCACUCACACUACCCUGAGUAUAGCAUCUGGGUCAUCGGGAUUAUAGGGAGCAUCAGAAUUAUCAGGAUCAACGGGAUGCUCGACCAGAUCGCUAGCCGGUUCUACAGAAGAGACCGCAUGUGCUGAAGUAAAUUACAAAAUUUUAUAUUAAAAUAAGUUUCUUUUACUAAUAUUGAACUGAUACCGAACAAACUACUAAAUACUACUCCCUCCGUCCCAAUUUAUGUAAACCUAUUUUCUUUUUGGUCCGUUCCAAAAAGAAUGACCCUUUUUUAAAUUUGGAAAUAAUUUAGCUUAAACUUAUAAUUCUACGAUUAAUGAGAAGCUUUUAUAACCAUACAAAUACUCUGGGUCCCUUUUUAACUUGUUUAGGACCUCAAAUUCCAAAAGUCUUUAUUUUUUCUUAACUUCGUGUCCAGUCAAAUAAGUUCACAUAAAUUGAAAUAGAGGGAGUAUCAUACUCCAACCGGUAUCUCAAUGGGCCUCUAAACGGGCUCCUUAUAGGAUGCUUAGGGGGUCUCCUAAAUGGAUCACACUCAUGAAUGACUGUGAUAUUUUUGGCAAACGAAUAUCCUAAUCUACUGACACUGUCGUAUGUAUCGUAGGAAGCUAAAAAAUAAUUGUAUACGGUCGAAAUCAGGUAUGCCCGAUUUUGUAGGCUCGAAGAGCCGCUUCAAGAAUAAGUUCAAAAUGGAUCGGGCUCGAGCCCGACGACAAAGUACAAGACUUGAAGAUCGAAGUGCUCGAUGAACACCGAGAUCGAGUAUGACCAACCUCAAGAUAAUACCAUUAUGGUUUUAUAACAGAAAGAGCGAGAUUUCCGCAGCGGCCCUAAGAUCACGAUGCAAAUUCCGGAACGGAUUUGUACUAGGCAGUUAGACAUCUGUCCAAUAGUAUUCCCUACUAAAUAUGGAAAUGUACCUUAUUUAGGAUUCCCCUAUUAUAUAAAGGGGAGCCCAUUCAUUUGUAACAUUAUACAUUCGUCAUUUUCUUGCUUACUAUUCAUCUGAGGUGCCUUAUAAUUUAUUAUUCUCACUGACCCACCUCGAGAAUGCCAUAGCUCGAGAUCGAGACUUGCUUGCACACUGAUUCGACUUACUUUAUCCGUUAAUUUAUACAUUUGAUUCUUUGUUUAUCAAUUGGUAUUGAACUAAAUCACAUAUCUUUAAGACCACAAUAUAAGUUUAAUUGUUACUUGGAUUCUAUGGUAAACAGUUUGUUGCCCACCAUAGGGCUAAGGAUAAUAGUGAUUGUUUCAGUAUGAAUAACACACGUUAUUUUCACACUUGUUCUUAUCAAGAAUUUUCGUUCUCAGGUACAUGUCAAACUCACAAAAUCCACCCGUGUAUGGCGAUGAUGG
Molecule: long non-coding RNA, 12056 nt
Filed under: Nicotiana tabacum (common tobacco)
Lineage: Eukaryota; Viridiplantae; Streptophyta; Magnoliopsida; Solanales; Solanaceae
Description: long non-coding RNA (NTAB_LNC007133)
Source: RNAcentral